Molecule: ribosomal RNA, 498 nt
Filed under: uncultured bacterium
Lineage: Bacteria
Description: bacterial SSU rRNA
Rfam family: Bacterial small subunit ribosomal RNA
Source: RNAcentral
GACGAACGCUGGCGGCGUGCCUAACACAUGCAAGUCGAGCGGGGUUGAAGCGAGGGGUAACUCGAGUUUCUACCUAGCGGCGGACGGGUGAGUAACGCGUGGGCAACCUGCCUCAAGGACUGGGAUAACAGCUCGAAAGGGCUGCUAAUACCGGAUAAGCCUAUGGCCUCGCAUGGGGCCAUGAGCAAAGGGGAAACCCGCCUUGAGAUGGGCCCGCGUCCCAUCAGCUAGUUGGUGAGGUGAAGGCUCACCAAGGCGACGACGGGUAGCCGGCCUGAGAGGGUGACCGGCCACACUGGGACUGAGACACGGCCCAGACUCCUACGGGGGGCAGCAGUGGGGAAUCUUGCACAAUGGGCGAAAGCCUGAUGCAGCGACGCCGCGUGAGCGAAGAAGGCCUUCGGUGUAAGCUCUGUCUGGAGGGACGAAGGAAGUGACGGUACCUCCGGAGGAAGCCACGGCUAACUACGUGCCAGCAGCCGCGGUAAAGUCACGUCG